GGCGGGGUAGCUCAGUGGCAGAGCUACGGACUCAUAAGCCGUCGGUCGUGGGUUCGAAUCCCACCCCCGCCACCA
RNAcentral lists this transfer RNA (75 nucleotides) under Chloroflexota bacterium. RNAcentral's name for it is "Chloroflexi bacterium (soil metagenome) tRNA-Met". It matches the Rfam family "tRNA". Rfam says of the family: Transfer RNA (tRNA) molecules are approximately 80 nucleotides in length. Their secondary structure includes four short double-helical elements and three loops (D, anti-codon, and T loops). The record is from RNAcentral. Lineage: Bacteria; Bacillati; Chloroflexota. RNAcentral also lists the same sequence under 2 other names.